RNAcentral lists this ribosomal RNA (495 nucleotides) under uncultured bacterium. RNAcentral's name for it is "partial 16S ribosomal RNA". It matches the Rfam family "Bacterial small subunit ribosomal RNA", at positions 28 to 507 of the family's 1533-position model. The record is from RNAcentral.
GACGAACGCUGGCGGCGUGCCUAAUACAUGCAAGUUGAGCGCUGAAGGUUGGUACUUGUACCAACUGGAUGAGCAGCGAACGGGUGAGUAACGCGUGGGGAAUCUGCCUUUGAGCGGGGGACAACAUUUGGAAACGAAUGCUAAUACCGCAUAAAAACUUUAAACACAAGUUUUAAGUUUGAAAGAUGCAAUUGCAUCACUCAAAGAUGAUCCCGCGUUAUUAGCUAGUUGGUGAGGUAAAGGCUCACCAAGGCGAUGAUACAUAGCCGACCUGAGAGGGUGAUCGGCCACAUUGGGACUGAGACACGGCCCAAACUCCUACGGGAGGCAGCAGUAGGGAAUCUUCGGCAAUGGACGAAAGUCUGACCGAGCAACGCCGCGUGAGUGAAGAAGGUUUUCGGAUCGUAAAACUCUGUUGGUAGAGAAGAACGUUGGUGAGAGUGGAAAGCUCAUCAAGUGACGGUAACUACCCAGAAAGGGACGGCUAACUACGUG